Molecule: unclassified non-coding RNA, 367 nt
Filed under: fungal sp.
Lineage: Eukaryota; Fungi
Description: partial internal transcribed spacer region
Rfam family: Eukaryotic small subunit ribosomal RNA (bases 1-46)
Source: RNAcentral
AAGUCGUAACAAGGUAACCGUAGGUGAACCUGCGGUUGGAUCAUUACCAAUUCAAUUAUUUCUCAUAUUGUUUGAUUGUUUGGCGAAAAAAAUUUUUUCUCCUUCGAUCAAGUCAAUUUAUGAGAAAAACACUUUGUGAACAAGUAAUUGUAUUUUGGUGGUUUUUCAAGCCUUUAACUUUCUAAAGGUUUUGCUCUAGUUUUUUUUUGCUGGAGUGAGGCCACCAAAGGACCUUUUUCACUGUCUUUUUUCAAAGGCAGCUUGAGUUCAAGGUCUUUUAAACAGACUCAUUAUUAUAUUAUUUAUUUUCUUUUAAAAAUAAAAGCCAAUUGAAAAACAACUUUUAACAACGGAUCUCUUGGCUCUC